Molecule: long non-coding RNA, 866 nt
Organism: Lolium perenne
Lineage: Eukaryota; Viridiplantae; Streptophyta; Magnoliopsida; Poales; Poaceae
Source: RefSeq, a predicted model, not a curated record
UAUCACUAGAUAUUUUCCCUCCGUCCUCCCCAGCCCUGGCGACGGUGCAUGCGUCCUCCCAGUCACCCGCUGCCGUGGAAUCAGGCGCCGCCAACCAUGGAGGCCAUGGGUUUCUCCUCCUCUAAGUCCCCACAUCGUCGACAGCAUGCCGCCGACUCAAUCCCCGUGAGUUCUGGUAGCUCCAGCCACCUCCAGUGUGGGGAUCCCAUCGGCACCGAGGCCCUCGAUUUCUAUGGGAGACGAAGCCGCGUCAUGCACGGAGGAUGCUAUCCACACUGGUGAAGCAUUGCGAUUCAUCUAUGGCGAUAAAUUUGGUAGACACCAAAAAUUGGGUGCUGUGUUGGCGCCUUGGUGGUCUGAUCACAUAUUGUGGAGAUUUGAGCGUGGAACAUAACCUUCAGUGUUUGACAUAUCCUGUGGGCGGUAUCACUUAUGAGCACCUCAACAGUUUAUUUAGCAAGCAAAGGAUCCAGGUUCACAUGUAGGGGAUGGCAAAUGCAAUCUAGCUGAUGGAGCGAGGAAGAUGAUGAAAACGGCUGCUGAAGUGACGAGGAGAUUGAGCUGGUGGUUUCCUGGAAGGAGUUGUUCCCUAGUACUCGACAUAAUGCCAGUAAACUAUGCUUUUGUCCCUCGUGUUUGGUUUUGUAAUAUUUCGAGUUUGUUUGAACUUUCCCAGACCUGUAGUUGUCUCCAUGAGUUGUUCAAAGUGAUAGCAGGUUUUUGCCCGGCUGUUCGAGAUCGAACACUCAGCGGGUUUCCUUCUACUGCUCCAACUCACUAUCUUCUUAUUUUUCUUUCUACCUUUAAUUGUUGUUUGUAAAAAGAUCCCGUUGUUUCCCUUGAGCAAUUAAUGGAAAAGGGGUUAG